Long non-coding RNA from Magallana angulata, 337 nucleotides. RefSeq lists it as uncharacterized. Lineage: Eukaryota; Metazoa; Mollusca; Bivalvia; Ostreida; Ostreidae. The record is from RefSeq and is a predicted model, not a curated record. The transcript has 3 exons.
AUUAAAUAUGGAAAAAGAUUAAAUCUUAUUUUAACACUGCUGCUUGUUACUCAACAUUUUCACCCAGUACGGGCUACAAACAGUCAAACUGAAAAAACCCUUCUGUCCACGCUUGCUGUUACAAGUGCAGGUGCACUUUAUGCAUUUGAAAGGCUUUCACCGUGGUCAGCAAGUCUUAUAGCAGCCCUGGCGAUUUAUGCAGCAUUACCACGGAAAAGCAGCCCCACCCCCACGACAACCCCCACCCCCACGACUCCGGGUCACGGAGGGAAUGGAAAUGGCGUCUGGUGACUGUUGGGUUUUUAAAGUUUUGACAAAUAAAGGCAGUAAAAUGUGU